GUGCUGCUGGCCGGAGGGAUCGCGCUGACCUGGUAUGUCCGGAGGGCCUUCUCGGUCCGGGUCGAGGUCCGGUCGCCCCGGUUGCACCCC
This 90-nucleotide transfer RNA is filed under the name Flexivirga endophytica. RNAcentral describes it as "tRNA-Thr". The record is from RNAcentral. Lineage: Bacteria; Bacillati; Actinomycetota; Actinomycetes; Micrococcales; Dermacoccaceae.